UGACAUAACUUCAUCUACCUACCAUUUCUCCGUUUCCUUUAGGCCGUACUGAGAGACAACAUUCCACUCAGUCAGAAUGGAGACGAUUAGUUCGUUGCACAGCCAAUCAACCCUCUGGCGGAGCAGACUUGAUGGUCUUGUCAAGUAAGAUGACGAGAGGCCUUGAUCAUGUGGAUAGCCAGAGGCUUUUUUCCCCAGGGCUGAAAUGGCUGACAUGAGGGGAGAUAGUUUUAACGUGCUUGGAAGGAGGUUACAAGGGGGGAUGUCAGAGAUGCUACUUGACCCAGUGAUUCCCUCCAGAAGAUUGUUUGUUGCUCCAGAUUCCAACAUCCACGUGCAUUGUCUAGUGACUCCACUGUCUGCUGUUUGACUUUUGAGGUGUCAGCUUUGGCUCAGAGGGGAGCUCUCUCAGCAAUGAAUCAGGAGGUUUAGUGCCACUUCAGAGAUCGAAACUUUAAGCAGCAAAGUUGACAUUUUGGUGCGGUGCCUAUGGAGCAACAAGUGGUUGAGAUAUCUGCCUUCUUUGGUGAAUGUGGAAGUCAACGCUGUAAAGAAAUGAAGAAGGAAUGUCUGCUGUUCUGUCCAAAUUAUAACUUCCAGUCAACCUCAUUUAAACAGAUGAUCUGCUCGUUUUGGUUGUUGGAGCUUGCUAAGCAUUGAUGCUACCUUUACAACAUUCCAACCGCAAGACCUGUUGCCUUGGGUUAAAGGCAAUGGAAAUGUCCGGCAAUUUGAGAUGUAAAACUUCCAAGUCACUUUAUUGAUAUAUCGCUCCUGUAAGUAAUCUAAAAGUGGAAUAUUAUUCUGUAAAGAA
Hypanus sabinus (Atlantic stingray) is the source of this 814-nucleotide long non-coding RNA. RefSeq lists it as uncharacterized. NCBI's taxonomy places the organism in Eukaryota, Metazoa, Chordata, Chondrichthyes, Myliobatiformes, Dasyatidae. The transcript is spliced from 4 exons. The record is from RefSeq and is a predicted model, not a curated record.